UGAGGAAUAUUGCGCAAUGGGGGAAACCCUGACGCAGCAACGCCGCGUGGGUGAAGAAGGCCUUCGGGUCGUAAAGCCCUUUCGGACGGGACGAAAGUUCCGCGGGGAUAAUCCGCGGAGCCUGACGGUACCGUAGGAAGAAGCACCGGCUAACUCCGUGCCAGCAGCCGCGGUAAUACGGAGGGCGCAAGCGUUGUUCGGAAUUACUGGGCGUAAAGCGCGUGUAGGCGGCCUUGUAAGUCAGAUGUGAAAGCCCUCGGCUCAACCGGGGAAGUGCAUCUGAAACGGCAAGGCUUGAGUACGGGAGAGGGAGGCGGAAUUCCCAGUGUAGAGGUGAAAUUCGUAGAUAUUGGGAGGAACACCGGUGGCGAAAGCGGCCUCCUGGACCGAUACUGACGCUGAGACGCGAAAGCGUGGGGAGCAAACAGGAUUAGAUACCCUGGUAGUCCACGCGGUAAACGAUGGGCACUAGGUGUGGGGGGUAUCCACUCCUCCCGUGCCGCAGCUAACGCAUUAAGUGCCCCGCCUGGGGAGUACGGCCGCAAGGCUA
This 550-nucleotide ribosomal RNA is filed under the name uncultured bacterium. RNAcentral's name for it is "bacterial SSU rRNA". It matches the Rfam family "Bacterial small subunit ribosomal RNA", at positions 355 to 896 of the family's 1533-position model. The record is from RNAcentral.